GAUGAACGCUGGCGGCGUGCUUAACACAUGCAAGUCGAACGGAAAGGCCCAAGCUUGCUUGGGUACUCGAGUGGCGAACGGGUGAGUAACACGUGGGUGAUCUGCCCUGCACUUCGGGAUAAGCCUGGGAAACUGGGUCUAAUACCGGAUAGGACCACUUCUUGGAUGUUGUGGUGGAAAGUUUUUUCGGCGUGGGAUGAGCUCGCGGCCUAUCAGCUUGUUGGUGGGGUAAUGGCCUACCAAGGCGUCGACGGGUAGCCGGCCUGAGAGGGUGUACGGCCACAUUGGGACUGAGAGACGGCCCAGACUCCGACGGGAGGCAGCAGGGGGGAAUAUUGCACAAUGGGCGCAAGCCUGAUGCGGCGACGCCGCGUGGGGGAGGACGGCCUUCGGGUUGUAAACUCCUUUCGCUAGGGACGAAGCGUUUUGUGACGGUACCUGGAGAAGAAGCACCGGCUAACUACGUG
Molecule: ribosomal RNA, 467 nt
Filed under: uncultured bacterium
Lineage: Bacteria
Description: partial 16S ribosomal RNA
Rfam family: Bacterial small subunit ribosomal RNA
Source: RNAcentral